RNAcentral lists this long non-coding RNA (429 nucleotides) under Homo sapiens (human). RNAcentral's name for it is "non-protein coding HTR2A-AS1:6". Lineage: Eukaryota; Metazoa; Chordata; Mammalia; Primates; Hominidae. The record is from RNAcentral.
AGAAAGAACGCAGCCCUACUGACACCUUGGUUUUGGCCUGGUGAGACCAACUUUGGACUUUUCACUUCCAAAACUGUUUAAAGAAAAAAGUCUACAGUUCCAGUUAGUCUACUUUUGUAACAGGACCUGACAACUCCACUCUACUUCCAAUCCUGAAAGACUACAGGAAAAACUAGCCCAAGUGACUGAGCUGGGGGGUCCCAGUCAUCGGUAGCAUGGAAAACGAAGAGUGCUCUGGACAGUGGGUGGAGAAGAUUCAAGUACAUCUUCCUUGCUGACAAUAUGCUCUCCUAUCUUUUGUAAGAGUACACAAUUUAAAUUUCUAAAAAUUCAUUACAAUACAAAGCAAAACAAUCCCUCGUAGAUUUAUAAUCAAACUAAUAUGCCACUUAGAAAAGAUUUGAAAUAAAUGCAAAUACCUAGGUACAA